RNAcentral lists this ribosomal RNA (254 nucleotides) under uncultured bacterium. RNAcentral's name for it is "partial 16S ribosomal RNA". It matches the Rfam family "Bacterial small subunit ribosomal RNA", at positions 524 to 776 of the family's 1533-position model. The record is from RNAcentral.
GACGAACCGUGCGAACGUUAUUCGGAAUCACUGGGCUUAAAGCGCGUGUAGGCGGGACGGCACGUCGGUCGCUGAAAUCCCCCGGCUUAACCGGGGAACGGGCGUCGAUACGACCGUCCUGGAGGGGCGUAGGGGGACCUGGAACUUCCGGUGGAGCGGUGAAAUGCGUUGAGAUCGGAAGGAACGCCCGUGGCGAAAGCGAGGUCCUGGACGACUACUGACGCUGAGACGCGAAAGCCAGGGGAGCAAACGGG